CAGGGGGCUGGUCGGUGCCCCCCAGUUCUUCAACCAAUCAGGGACAGAGGAGGGAAUUCGGAUGCUCUCAAUGCUGCUGCGCUCCAGUGCCUUCCCGCCCCCGCCUGGUGACAAGGCCUUCAUUUGAGGCCAUAACAAUGACAGUGGAGAAGCCCCAGCCGUGCUCCUUGCAUGAAUUCUGGAGCAGAGGAAAUGCAGCUCUUGUGGACCCACUAAAUUCACUCGAUACUUCAAGCAAGGAAUUCAGAAUACUUACAAGCAAAGAGAAAAGCAAAUUCUAAAGGACACAUUCGGUGAUGUGAUUCUAGAUCAAUAGAACAAAGAGAGAUCCAAGAAUUCAGAUUCCUAAAGAAGCGACAUUCAGAUUUAUUGUUAACUUGCCAAUGAACUUCCCACAGACAAGAACCAAAGCCAGCAGAACAAAGCAGCCCCAGAUGUGUUCUACUCUAUUAUCUGAAGUAAAUGAAAAUCAACCCUGAGGAAUGUGUAGACGGAAGCAGUUCAUCCUGGGAGGUGAGAAUGAGCAUUGAAAGAGCCAUCCGUGAAACCGUAAGGCUGGGAAAGAGAAGUGAAGGGGCACAUGGAAGUGUUCAUCUCUGGGGCAGGGAAAAAUAAUCCGGAGAAGAUGAGUCACACUUCAUUUGUAACCCAUGAAUGAAAAUCAAUACUGUUACCUAUCGUAAAUUACACUGAACAUAGUGCUUACACUUGAGUAGCAAUGCAGUAAAACCACUAUGAGCCAACUGAUUGACUUUUCUAGAUCCCAAUUCUAUCAUUCAUCUUCUGGUAUUCAUCUUCUGGCUUAGCUACUGUUUCCUGGCACAGAUUCUUAAUAAAG
Molecule: long non-coding RNA, 838 nt
Filed under: Gorilla gorilla gorilla (western lowland gorilla)
Lineage: Eukaryota; Metazoa; Chordata; Mammalia; Primates; Hominidae
Description: lncRNA (ENSGGOG00000044576.1)
Source: RNAcentral